GUUUGGAUUAAACCAGAUUCGAACACUGGCGGGAUGCUUUUUACACAUGCCAAGUCGAACGGCCAGCACGGACUUCGGUCUGGUGGCGAGUGGCGAACAGGUGAGUAAUGUAUCGGGGAACGAUGCACCUAGUAGCGGGGGAUAACUACGCGAAAGCGUAGCUAAUACCGCAUACGCCCUUCGAGAAAGCGAGGGGACCUUCGGGCCUCGCACUAAUGGAAGCGGCCGAUAUCGGGAUUGGCAGCUGGUUGGUGGGGUAACGGCUCACCAGAGCGGCGAUCCGUAGCUGGUUUGAGGACGACCAGCCACUGGGACGGAGACUGACCCAGACUCCUACGAGGUAGCAGUGAGAAUUUGGACAAUGGAAGCACAGUCCAGCCAUCCCGCGUGUGCGAUGAAGGCCUUCGGAUUGUAAAGCACUUUGGCAGGAAAGAAACGGCACGGGAUAAUGCCCCGUGCAACUGACAACACCUGCAGAAUAAGCACCGGCUAACGUGCCAGCGUACUUGACUAAUACGUAGAGUGCAAGCGUUAAUCGGAAUUACUGGGCGUAAAGCGUGCGCAGGCGGUUCGGAAAAGAAGAUGUGAAAUCGGGAAAGCAACUUUGGAACUGCAUUUUAACUGCCGAGCUGAAGUGUGUCAGAGGGAGGUGGAAUUCCGCCUGUAGCAGUGAAAUGCGUAAGAUAUGCCGGAGAGAACACCGAUGGCGAAGGCAGCCUCCUGGGAUAACACUGACGCUCAUGCACGAAAGCGUGAGGGGAGCAAACAGGAUUAGAUACCCUGGUAGUCACGCACUUCCUAAACGAUGUCAACUAGCUGUUGGGGCCUUCGGGCCUUGGUAGCCACCAGCCUAACGCGUGAAGUUGACCGCCUGGGGAAGUACAGUCGCAAGAUUAAAACUCAAAGGAAUUGACGGGGACCCGCACAAGCGGUGGAUGAUGUGGAUUAAUUCGAUGCAACGCGAAAAACCUUACCUACCCUUGACAUGUCUGAUCGAAGAUUUGGGUGCUCGCAAGAGAACCGGAACACAGGUGCUGCAUGGCUGUCGUCAAUGCGUGUCGUGAGAUGUUGGGUUAAGUCCCGCAACGAGCGCAACCCUUGUCAUUGGUUGCUACGAAAGGGCACUCUAAGCGGACUGCCGGUGACAAACCGGAGGAAGGUGGGGAUGACGUCAAGUCCUCAUAGCCCUUAUGGGUAGGGCUUCACACAUCAUGCAAUGGUGGGACAGAGGGUCGCCAACCCGCGAGAGGCCAAUCCCAGAAACCCGAUCGUAGUCCGGAUCGCAGUCUGCAACUCGACUGCGUGAAGUCGGGAUCCUUUAAUGCGGAUCAGCAUGUCGCAGUGAAUACGUUCCAGGUCCUUACACGCCCGUCACAUGGAAUUAGGUUUUACCAGAAGUAGUUAGCCUAACCGUAGGGAGGCGAUUACCACGGUAGGAUUCAUGACUGGGUGAAGUCAACAAGGUAA
This 1467-nucleotide ribosomal RNA is filed under the name uncultured Bordetella sp. RNAcentral describes it as "partial 16S-23S ribosomal RNA intergenic spacer". It matches the Rfam family "Bacterial small subunit ribosomal RNA". Lineage: Bacteria; Pseudomonadati; Pseudomonadota; Betaproteobacteria; Burkholderiales; Alcaligenaceae. The record is from RNAcentral.